GUGAGGAAUAUUGGUCAAUGGAGGCAACUCUGAACCAGCCAAGUAGCGUGCAGGAUGACGGCCCUAUGGGUUGUAAACUGCUUUUAUGCGGGGAUAAAUUGACUCACGUGUGGGUCAUUCGAGGUACCGCAUGAAUAAGGAUCGGCUAAUUCCGUGCCAGCAGCCGCGGUAAUACGGAAGGUCCGGGCGUUAUCCGGAUUUAUUGGGUUUAAAGGGAGCGUAGGCCGUUGUUUAAGCGUGUUGUGAAAUGUCCCGGCUCAACCGUGGCACUGCAGCGCGAACUGGACGACUUGAGUGCGCGGAACGUAUGCGGAAUUUGUGGUGUAGCGGUGAAAUGCUUAGAUAUCACGAAGAACUCCGAUUGCGAAGGCAGCAUACGGCAGCGCUACUGACGCUGAAGCUCGAAAGCGCGGGUAUCGAACAGG
Molecule: ribosomal RNA, 425 nt
Filed under: uncultured bacterium
Lineage: Bacteria
Description: bacterial SSU rRNA
Rfam family: Bacterial small subunit ribosomal RNA
Source: RNAcentral